Molecule: ribosomal RNA, 406 nt
Filed under: uncultured bacterium
Lineage: Bacteria
Description: partial 16S ribosomal RNA
Rfam family: Bacterial small subunit ribosomal RNA
Source: RNAcentral
AUCGAACGCUGGCGGCAGGCCUAACACAUGCAAGUCGAACGAGUGGCGGACGGGUGAGUAAUGUCUGGGACACUGCCUGAUGGAGGGGGAUAACUACUGGAAACGGUAGCUAAUACCGCAUACAAUCGGGUGUGCCCAGAGGGGUUUAGCUGGUAGGUGGGGUAACGGCUCACCUAGGCCGCGAUCCCUGGCUGGUCUGAGAGGAUGACCAGCCACCUUGGAACGUGGACACGGUCUACGCUCCUGCGGUAUGCAGCAGUGGGGAAUAGUGGACAAUGGGCGCAAGCCUGAUGCAGGCAUGCCGGGUGUAUGAAGGAGGCCUUCGGGUUUUAAAGUAUUUUCAGCGUGGAGGCGUUACUCGCAGAAGAAGCACCGGCUAACUACGUGCCAGCAGCCGCGGUAAUAC